CCUAGCUUAUAAAGCAUCGUGUGUUUCGCUUCGAGAUCCCUGUUCAACACGCUUGCUGGAUGGCAUCUGUACACUUAAAAAUUCUGGACGAUGUACAACGGUGAAGAUAAUGACAAGCUGAUAAAAUGGGAAGUUAAUUUGGAUCAAAUCCAAAAUUUAUAAAAUUUGAAGUGGAAACUGGAUUUAAUUCUUGGAAAGAUAAGGGUACCCUAAAAACCAUGUGGCUUGGAGGUGGAAAUUCAUCAAUUGAAAUAUCAUUUUAGCUCAAGUAAAAAUACUAUUAAGGUAAGUUAAAUUUCAAUUAGUUUGUAUGUGGAAGUGUUUUAAAAGUAGAAAGUGUUGUAUGGAAAGCUAAAGGAGUAUAGUGUGAAAUGUCUUGGUAUAUUACACCAUUUUGAAAUAUCAGUUCAGACUUAUUUUAAUAUUGGA
Long non-coding RNA from Daphnia carinata, 429 nucleotides. RefSeq lists it as uncharacterized. NCBI's taxonomy places the organism in Eukaryota, Metazoa, Arthropoda, Branchiopoda, Diplostraca, Daphniidae. The transcript is spliced from 3 exons. The record is from RefSeq and is a predicted model, not a curated record.